RNAcentral lists this ribosomal RNA (426 nucleotides) under uncultured bacterium. Its description in RNAcentral is "bacterial SSU rRNA". It matches the Rfam family "Bacterial small subunit ribosomal RNA", at positions 355 to 772 of the family's 1533-position model. The record is from RNAcentral.
UGGGGAAUAUUGGACAAUGGGCGAAACCCUGACCGAGCGACGCCGCGUGGAGGAUGAAGGCCCUUGGGUUGUAAACUCCUUUCGUGGGGGAAGAAUGUGCCCGAGGUGAAUAAUCUCGAGUAUUGACGGUACCCCCGGAAUAAGCCCCGGCUCACUCUGUGCCAGCAGCCGCGGUAAUACAGAGGGGGCAAGCGUUGUCCGGACUUACUGGGUGUAAAGCGCAUGCAGGUGGCUGUGCAAGUAUGCUGUGAAAGCCCCGUGCUUAACACGGGGAGGCCAGUAUAGACUGCACGGCUCGAGGACUGCAGAGGGUAGGGGAAUUGUUGGUGUAGUGGUGAAAUGCGUAGAGAUCAGCAGGAAUACCAAUGCCGAAGGGACCUACCUGGGCAGUAUCUGACACUCAAGUGCGACAGCGUGGGGAGCGAA